CGGGACGUGGCGCAGUUUGGUAGCGCGCAGCGUUCGGGACGCUGAGGUCGCGGGUUCAAAUCCCGCCGUCCCGACCC
RNAcentral lists this transfer RNA (77 nucleotides) under Actinomycetes bacterium. RNAcentral describes it as "Actinobacteria bacterium tRNA-Pro". It matches the Rfam family "tRNA". From Rfam's summary of the family: Transfer RNA (tRNA) molecules are approximately 80 nucleotides in length. Their secondary structure includes four short double-helical elements and three loops (D, anti-codon, and T loops). Lineage: Bacteria; Bacillati; Actinomycetota; Actinomycetes. The record is from RNAcentral.